UCUCCAGUGGCUCAGACGGUAAAGAAUCUGCCUGCAAUGCAGGAGACCUGGGUUCUGUCCCUGGCUUGGGAA
Molecule: transfer RNA, 72 nt
Filed under: Ovis aries (sheep)
Lineage: Eukaryota; Metazoa; Chordata; Mammalia; Artiodactyla; Bovidae
Rfam family: tRNA
About the family: Transfer RNA (tRNA) molecules are approximately 80 nucleotides in length. Their secondary structure includes four short double-helical elements and three loops (D, anti-codon, and T loops). Further hydrogen bonds mediate the characteristic L-shaped molecular structure. tRNAs have two regions of fundamental functional importance: the anti-codon, which is responsible for specific mRNA codon recognition, and the 3' end, to which the tRNAs corresponding amino acid is attached (by aminoacyl-tRNA synthetases). tRNAs cope with the degeneracy of the genetic code in two manners: having more than one tRNA (with a specific anti-codon) for a particular amino acid; and 'wobble' base-pairing, i.e. permitting non-standard base-pairing at the 3rd anti-codon position.
Source: Rfam by way of RNAcentral